Salvia miltiorrhiza (redroot sage) is the source of this 428-nucleotide long non-coding RNA. RefSeq lists it as uncharacterized. The record is from RefSeq and is a predicted model, not a curated record. The transcript is spliced from 3 exons. NCBI's taxonomy places the organism in Eukaryota, Viridiplantae, Streptophyta, Magnoliopsida, Lamiales, Lamiaceae.
UCCCUAAAACCAAAGUAAUUCCCUGGUGAAAAUUUAAAAUGAAAAUCGUCUCUCUAAUUUUUCCUCCAAAACCAAAUAAUCCCUUGGUCAAAAAUUCUGAAAAUCGUCUCUCUCGCGCUCUUAUAACCGCUGCCGCCGAACUAGUCUGUUAUGCUGGGAUCGGCGGUCAUUCUCGUAUGUUGCGGCGCUUGCUGGCUCUAAUUUCCAGCCAUUUUUACCUAUUGCCAGCCGCUAAGGUUUUUACAGAACUCAACUAGGGUUUCAGUUCUCAACAAUUCUUCGUUUGGUAGGGAAAGUUUAUAAUAGAUAUUCUAAAGGCAUGACAUGAGACACAGGCGGUGGGCAACAAUUAUGGAGAUCUUUUAAAUAACUCAAAUGGCGACCAACAAGUUACCAAAGCGAACUAUCAAGGUCUUGUUCUCUAUUUU